This 460-nucleotide ribosomal RNA is filed under the name uncultured bacterium. RNAcentral describes it as "partial 16S ribosomal RNA". It matches the Rfam family "Bacterial small subunit ribosomal RNA", at positions 338 to 795 of the family's 1533-position model. The record is from RNAcentral.
CCUACGGGUGACUGCAGUGAGGAAUAUUGGUCAAUGGACGCAAGUCUGAACCAGCCAUGCCGCGUGCAGGAAGACGGCUCUAUGAGUUGUAAACUGCUUUUGUACGAGGGUAAACGGAGAUACGCGUAUCUGUCUGAAAGUAUCGUACGAAUAAGGAUCGGCUAACUCCGUGCCAGCAGCCGCGGUAAUACGGAGGAUUCAAGCGUUAUCCGGAUUGAUUGGGUUUAAAGGGUGCGUAGGUGGUCGGAUAAGUUAGAGGUGAAAUCCCGAGGCUCAACUUCGGAAUUGCAUCUGAUAAUGUUCGGCUAGAGAAUAGUUGCGGUAGGCGGAAUGUAUGGUGUAGCGGUGAAAUGCUUAGAGAUCACGCAGAACCCCGAUUGCGAAGGCAGCAUACCGGUGCACAACUGACGCUCAGGCACGAAAGCGUGGGUAUCGAACAGGAUUAGAUACCCUGGUAGUC